RNAcentral lists this long non-coding RNA (626 nucleotides) under Homo sapiens (human). RNAcentral's name for it is "HSALNT0355271". Lineage: Eukaryota; Metazoa; Chordata; Mammalia; Primates; Hominidae. The record is from RNAcentral.
UGUUGGCGCUUCUUCUCCCAAGCUCUUGCAGCCCCCUCGGGACUAGGUUUCCAACGGCGCUUGCGGGGGGCCUCGCGGAGGUGGAUGUGGAAAAGGCGAGCGCGGGGGAACUGUGCUGUAACCAUCGCCCCGCCUCCACAGAAAGCCCCGAAGCGCCGGCUCGGGGCCGAACGCGGGCAUCCGGCGUUCGUCUGUUAGGCAGGCAGACAUUAAGCGCCUACUGUGUGCUGGGCCCUACUCAAGACCCAGGCGGGGAGAACGGCGUCUGUCCGGCUGGGUCAGGAGCCCCAAAGCUUUGAAAGAACACCUCCUGAGAGUACAGUGGGAAAUCAACCACCAGCAGAUGAUGGUUGAGCUAGAAGAACCACGUGUUUCCACAGGGAGCUGCACACGAGGACCCGGUGGUCCCUGACCUGCCCUCUCCAGGGGGGACCUGCACUUUCUGCCACCAAAGAGGAUUCUCUGUAGGGAGGCCAGGAUGAUUCUCCAGAAUUUACCAUGCCUUGAGAUGAAAUUUCCUUUCAAACUUCCUUGUGUCCUUUUGUCCUCAUUCCAUGUUCACCAGUCUUCUGACUGUUUCAUUUUCCAGAAAGGAGAAACUGAAUAACAUGUAUAUUUUAACCUUG